AUGAGCUUAAAGCUUCAAAAUAUUGAUUAAGGAUCUUCUCAUGAUAGCUAAUCUGAAAUUUACAUUUUUAACCAUGCAUGGUCAUUAUUACUUAUUUAUUAUGGGGUUUUAAAUAAUUAUGGUGAGUUUAUUUUAAAAUUAUUAUUAACAUAGGAAAUUGGUUUUAAAGAUAUCAUUUUAGAUAAACUAAUUAACACUUGUUAGUUGUUAUUUUCAACAAUCUAUAUAAUUUUUGCAUGUUUUUUAAUCAUAUAAUAUUAAUGUAAAAUGAUCGCCCAAUUGAUGGCCUCUUAUAGUGCAGUAAUAAAGCAGCUAGCUGUGUUGAAACAGAAUGCAUGUAAAAACAAAACGGCAAGCCGUUAAAAGAAAACGGCUUGUUGUUUUCGAAUAGAAGGCAGAUGAAAAGGAACGGCUAGCCUCUUCAUCAUAAAUGGCUAGCGGUUAUCAAACAGAAACCAAAAUUUACGAAAACGACUAGCUAUUUGUGGUAAACGAUUGGACGUUUUCUCGACAAAAGGAUACAUUUAACGUUUAUUCUUCGUCCUUCAUUAUGCAAAUAAUGAGCCAAUAAAUAAAAAACACCUACCACUAAUCUUGAUACCUAAAUCGAUAAACUUGAAACUUAGGGCAAUGAACACCAAACUUGGGAUCAUUAACUUGCAACCCUAAAAAUCAUACAAAUAAUGGAUCAAUAAAUAUGAACCAUCCACCAUUAACCAUUAACUUGAUACCUGAAACAUUAAACUUGAAACCAAAAGAACUUGAAUCAUAGGGUAAUAAACACGAAACUUAAAAUCAUUAACUUGCAAUUAUGAAAAUCAUGUAAUUAAUUGACCAAUUAACAAUAAACACAUACCAUUAACUAGAUACCGAGACUAUUAAGCCUGAAAUUAAAGGAACUUGAAACGUAGGGCAAUAAAUAUGAAACUUGUGAUUAUUAACUUGUGACCAUGAAAAUCAUGCGAUUGAUGGACCAAUAAACAUGAGACACCCACCAUUUACUUGAUACCUAAACCAUUAAACUUAAAAUUAAAGGAACUUGAAAGUUAGGGUAAUAAACAUGAAACUUGAGAUCAUUAACUUACAACCAUAAAAAUCAUGCAAUUAAUGGACCAAUAAAUAUGAAACACUUACCAUUAACUUAAUAUUGAGACCAUUAAACUUGAAACCAAAAGAAACUUGAAAUUUAGGACAAUGAACAUGAAAUUUGAUAUCAUUAAUUUGCAAUCAUGAAAAUCAUGCAAUUAAUGGACCAACAAACAUGAAGCACCUACCAUUAAUUUGAUACUAAAACCAUUAAACUUGAAACCAAAAGAACUUAAAACUUAGGGCAACGCAAAUGAAACUUGUGAUCAUUAACUUGCAACCAUGAAAAUCAUGCAAUUAAUGGACUAAUAAAUGUGAAACACCAAACAUUUACUUGAUAUAGAGACCGUUAAACUUGAAACCAAAUGAAUUUGAAACUUAAGGUAAUAAACAUGAAACUUAUGAUCAUUAACUUGCAACCAUGAAAAUCAUACAAUUAAUGGACUAAUAAAUAUAAAACACCCAUCAUUAACUUGAUACUUGGAUAAUUAAACUUGAAACCAAAGGAACUCGAAUCAAGGGCAAUAAACACGAAACUUAAGAUUGCAAUACUCUUCUUAUUGGCACACACAUACAGAACACUCACUCCACACUAGAGCUGGCAAAACGGGUCAUCGGGUCGUGUUCGUGUCGUGUCAGCUUCGUGUCGUGUCAAAUUUAGGUCGACCCAAACCCGACCUAUUUAAUAAUCGUGUCAAAAUAUUGAGACCCAAACCCGACACGGAAAAAUAAUCGGGUUACCCAAUAACCCGUUUAAUAUCUAUAUAUUGAAUAAAAGUUACAUCAAAUAUUUACAUACUAUCAUACAUACGUAUGUACAUACAUACAUACAUACAUAAUUUAUCGAUAUUAUAAAAUAUACAUAUAUACCAAUAUAUUACACAUUUACACUAUUGAGGUUUUAAUUAUAUAUAUAUAAUAUUAUAUAUCAAUAUUAUAAAAUAUACAUGUCUAUCAAUUUUUACACAUUUACACUAUUGAAGCUCUAAAUGUAUUUAAAAUUUUAUAAAUAAAACACUGUGUUUAUAUUCACCAUUUUAAAGAAUAAAAAAAAGAAAAUCAUCUCUAAUAUUUGAGUUUUAAUGAUAAAAAUAUGUAAAUUAUUUUAAAAUAGAAAAUAUAAUCGGGUCAUUGAUCGGGUAAAUGGGUCAAGAAUUUUAACCCAAACCCGACACGGAAAAAAAUCGUGUUGACCCGGACCCGACCCAUUUAAUAAUCGUGUUAAAUUUGACAACUCAUACCCAUUUAUUUAUGUCGUGUUCGUGUCGGGUAAUCGGGUCGUGUCAAAUUUUGCCAGCUCUACUCCACACACACAGACCAGAGACGACAGUAGCUGCCAGCUUGCUCCACCUCGACCGACAGCCACCAAACUCGUUCAAACUGCCAGCUUGCCCCACCUCAAUCGACAGCUUGCCAACUUACUUCAUGGUGUAUUUGCGUCUUGUUUCUUGACGAAAUGGGUCGAUUUGCUUGCUUUGUCUUGCUCUAUCUACGAUCUAUUGAUUUAUUGGGUUUUAUUUUAUUCAAAAAAUCAAAAUCUGAUUUUGCUGACAAAAAGUCAGAAAGGGAGAGAAUUUUCAAACUUGGGCAAUGCAGAUCAAGAGAAGUCAAAGAAAAAGAUCUGUGAUUAAUGGAAAUGGGGCUACUCCAAUUUCGAUUUCAAUAUCAAUAUCAAUUGUCCCCUGUGAAGAUAUGAUUUAUUAUCAUUACUCUUCUUACUAUUUUGAAUAUAAACUGAUUUGUUCUUAAAAAAAUAAAAAAUCAUCUGACUCGAAUGCUAUUUCAACCCGAACCUAUUUGAAUUCAAUUCGAACUUAUAAUCCGAUUCGAAUGAUUUUUUUCUUUUUUGAGAACAGAUCAGUUGAUAUUCAAAAUAAUAAAAGUAACGAUAAGAAAUCAUAUCUUAACAAGAGAAUCUGGAUUGAAUUUGGAUGAUUAUUCUUCCAAGCCAACUAAUCCGAAAUCUGAUUGGGUUUAUCCGAACCCGAUCCGAAUCCGAAUUUGCUCACCCUUAAUUAGUCAAAGAAUUGCUCUGUCUUUUUUAUUAUUAUUUGCAUGUAUCACGUACAUGCAGGUAUUGUAGUUGUGACCCUCUAGCAUAUGCUAAAAUUUUAGUAGGCUAUCUCAAAAUUUCAACAUGCUGAAAUGAUGGGGACAAUUCCACACAAAUUGGAUUUAGUAAUUAAUUAUAGAUGUGGCAUUUGUUUACCAAUUUAAGAUAUACUUCCGUCAUGCAUGCAUUAUCAAUGCUUUUUAAUUUGCCUCAUCAAUGACGAUCAUGGAUAAAUUAAUCAACGUACAUUUGCCUUUUGAGCAUGUAUUGGAAAAUAAAUGUUGAACAAUGUAACCUGAAUAGUGCCAAAUUAAUGCGGAGACACUUCCAUAAGUAACUUGGCCAUAUGCAAACUAACCCGUUUCUCAAGCAUAAUAUCAUUAUCAUUGCCAAUUUACUUGACCAAUAUACAAUAGCUGACCGUUAAUCCUCGCAUGAGUUUGGUUGACUUCUUUUUUCAUGCAAUAUGAACGCAAAGCAAAGUCAUGGUCAAAACAUGAGCAUGCCUCCAAUUUGUCAAAGCUAAAUUGCUGGCUUUAUUGGUUUGUUUUUCGGUGUUGUUUUUCAAAGAAAUAAUGAUAUUUUUCAGGCUUAGAAAGGCUAUAAAUUGAAAGAUUAUUUGAUGAGGUAGAUGCAAUGAGAUUGACAUUGCCAAAAGAUAUUGAGUUGAUUCACUGUUUUUUUUUUUUAAUUCAGUUUGUGUUUUUGAGAGUUAUAUUUGAUUGAUUGUGUUUAUCGACAUUCAUUAAUUAAAGAGUUAAAAAUAGGUCUUGGGAUGGAUUGAUUAGAUCAGAUUGACAGAUCUUAAUCAUAAUAAGAAGUGCUACGAUGGUUUUCUCAAUUUCAUAUACUCAUAGAUAUAGGUUUUAAUCUAAUAUGACAUAAUAUGAUUGAAUACAUAAAAAAAUAAAAAUAAAUUAUGUGCGUCGGAAAUAUAUAGAGAUGGGUCUCUAAGCCCAUGUAGUUUCUUACGAUCUGGAAGAUUUGAUAUGACCACUGGAACCUCCUUGAACUUGUUAGCCCAUGCAUGCAAUCAGUGAUGGGUUCCCACACUUU
This 4195-nucleotide long non-coding RNA is filed under the name Citrus x clementina. RNAcentral's name for it is "Citrus clementina (C. clementina) long non-coding RNA (CCLE_LNC000206)". The record is from RNAcentral. Lineage: Eukaryota; Viridiplantae; Streptophyta; Magnoliopsida; Sapindales; Rutaceae.